GUAGCGAAAUACCUCGUCACUUAAUUAGUGACUGCAUGAACGGAGCUAUGAGGUCUCACUGUCCCAAACUGUCUCUCAGCGAACCAACUGUAGUGGGAACGGUCACUAGAUAUCCAGCGGGGAAAGAAGACCCUGUAGAGCUUCACUUUGGUCUAGUCUUGUAUAGUUCCUGCGGGGGUGUAGACUAGGUGGGAGAGCAAUCGAUUCUGAAAAACCACUACCCUGUUUGGAAUUAUGCUUACCUAUCACAAGGAAUAGGACUAGAUAGAAAGUUUGGCUGGGGCGGCACACCUUCGAAAGAGCAGCGAAGGUGUCCUAAGUUGAGCUCAGUGAGGACAGAAAUCUCACGUUGAGGAUAAGGCCAAAAGCUCAAUUUACUGUGCCUUUUUGUACUAGGAUCAGUUACGAAAGUAAGGCCUAACGAUCCCUAAAUAGCCUCAGGUGCGUGAGGAUUGGGGUGACAGACAAGUUACCUCCGGGACAACUGGCUUGUGGCUGCUAAGAGAUCAAAUCAACGCAGCUUUUUGAUUCUUCGAUGUCGGCUCUUCCUAUCCUAGUGAUGUACAAGUUGCUAAGGGUCGGAUUGUUCACCCGUAUUAGGGAUCGUGAGCUGGGUUUAGACCGUCGUGAGCCAGGUUUGUUUUAUCCUACUGGAUAUAGCAUCAUGAUAGUAGAUUGAUUUAGUACGAGAGGAACUGUUGAUUAUGGCCUCUGGUUAGCGAUUAUCGGAAACGGUAUGUCGCGCAGCUACGCCGUCUGGGAUAAUGGCUGAAAGCCUCUUAAGCCAGAAGCCCAUCUAGAAAGUGAUGCACGUGAUGUUGGACCGAUACGAAUAAUCAUACUCAAAAGGUCCGCUUCAUAGGUAACCCAAUGUAGAAGACAUUGUGUGAACGAAGGUACUGUAAGCAGUGGAGUGGCAUUACGUCCACGACCUGUUGAGGUUCAGCUUCGCUUCUAGGUUUCC
This 964-nucleotide non-coding RNA is filed under the name Trichomonas vaginalis G3. RNAcentral describes it as "Eukaryotic large subunit ribosomal RNA". It matches the Rfam family "Eukaryotic large subunit ribosomal RNA", at positions 2279 to 3401 of the family's 3401-position model. Lineage: Eukaryota; Parabasalia; Trichomonadida; Trichomonadidae. The record is from Rfam by way of RNAcentral.